RNAcentral lists this ribosomal RNA (465 nucleotides) under uncultured bacterium. Its description in RNAcentral is "partial 16S ribosomal RNA". It matches the Rfam family "Bacterial small subunit ribosomal RNA", at positions 28 to 507 of the family's 1533-position model. The record is from RNAcentral.
GACGAACGCUGGCGGCGUGCUUAACACAUGCAAGUCGAACGGAAAGGCCCUGCUUGCAGGGUACUCGAGUGGCGAACGGGUGAGUAACACGUGGGUGAUCUGCCCUGCACUUCGGGAUAAGCCUGGGAAACUGGGUCUAAUACCGGAUAGGAGCCAUUUUUAGUGUGAUGGUUGGAAAGUUUUUUCGGUGUAGGAUGAGCUCGCGGCCUAUCAGCUUGUUGGUGGGGUAAUGGCCUACCAAGGCGGCGACGGGUAGCCGGCCUGAGAGGGUGGACGGCCACAUUGGGACUGAGAUACGGCCCAGACUCCUACGGGAGGCAGCGGUGGGGAAUAUUGCACAAUGGGCGCAAGCCUGAUGCAGCGACGCCGCGUGGGGGAUGACGGCCUACGGGUUGUAAACUCCUUUCGCUAGGGACGAAGCUUUUUGUGACGGUACCUAGAUAAGAAGCACCGGCUAACUACGUG